RNAcentral lists this ribosomal RNA (332 nucleotides) under uncultured Bacillota bacterium. Its description in RNAcentral is "bacterial SSU rRNA". It matches the Rfam family "Bacterial small subunit ribosomal RNA", at positions 28 to 351 of the family's 1533-position model. Lineage: Bacteria; Bacillati; Bacillota. The record is from RNAcentral.
GACGAACGCUGGCGGCGUGCCUAAUACAUGCAAGUCGAGCGAAUGGAUGGGAGCUUGCUCCCUGACGUUAGCGGCGGACGGGUGAGUAACACGUGGGCAACCUGCCCUGCAGAUGGGGAUAACUCCGGGAAACCGGGGCUAAUACCGAAUAAUCAGUUCUCCCGCAUGGGAGAACUCUGAAAGACGGUUUCGGCUGUCACUGCAGGAUGGGCCCGCGGCGCAUUAGCUAGUUGGUGGGUAAUGGCCUACCAAGGCGACGAUGCGUAGCCGACCUGAGAGGGUGAUCGGCCACACUGGGACUGAGACACGGCCCAGACUCCUACGGGAGGCAG